This 514-nucleotide ribosomal RNA is filed under the name uncultured bacterium. RNAcentral describes it as "partial 16S ribosomal RNA". It matches the Rfam family "Bacterial small subunit ribosomal RNA", at positions 28 to 523 of the family's 1533-position model. The record is from RNAcentral.
GAUGAACGCUGGCGGCGUGCCUAGUACAUGCAAGUCGAGCGAAUGGAUUAAGAGCUUGCUCUUAUGAAGUUAGCGGCGGACGGGUGAGUAACACGUGGGUAACCUGCCCAUAAGACUGGGAUAACUCCGGGAAACCGGGGCUAAUACCGGAUAACAUUUUGAACCGCAUGGUUCGAAAUUGAAAGGCGGCUUCGGCUGUCACUUAUGGAUGGACCCGCGUCGCAUUAGCUAGUUGGUGAGGUAACGGCUCACCAAGGCAACGAUGCGUAGCCGAGCUGAGAGGGUGAUCGGCCACGCUGGGACUGAGACACGGACCAGACUCCUACGGGAGGCAGCAGUAGGGAAUCUUCCGCAAUGGACGAAAGUCUGACGGAGCAACGCCGCGUGAGUGAUGAAGGCUUUCGGGUCGUAAAACUCUGUUGUUAGGGAAGAACAAGUGCUAGUUGAAUAAGCUGGCACCUUGACGGUACCUAACCAGAAAGCCACGGCUAACUACGUGCCAGCCGCCGGGUAA